Molecule: ribosomal RNA, 557 nt
Filed under: Trigonopterus sp. 465 MB-2015
Lineage: Eukaryota; Metazoa; Arthropoda; Insecta; Coleoptera; Curculionidae
Description: partial 16S ribosomal RNA
Source: RNAcentral
CGACCUGGUUCACACCGGUUUAAACUCAGAUCAUGUAAAAUUUUAAAGGUCGAACAGACCUAAUUUUCUAGCAACUUCACCAGCAAUUAAUUUUAAUCCAACAUCGAGGUCGCAAUCUUUUCUUUCGAUAAGAACUCUAAAAAAAAUUACGCUGUUAUCCCUAAGGUAAUUUAAUCUUCAAAUCUUAAACUUAGGAUCUAAUUUUCAUAAAUUAAUGUUUAAUUGAAAGAAAAGUUUAGUUAAUUUUCCUAUCACCCCAACAAAACACAAUAAUAGUUUAAUAAAUUUUAAUCUUAAACUUUUUAAACUACUAAUUAUGUAAAACUCUAUAGGGUCUUCUCGUCUUCUAUUCACAUUUAAGCCUUUUAACUUAAAAAUAAAAUUCUAAUAAAUUCCUCUAGAGACAGAAUUCUUUUCAUUAAACCCUUCAUACAAGCUUUCAAUUAAAAAACUAAUGAUUAUGCUACCUUUGUACGGUCAAUAUACCGCAGCCAUUUAACUUAUCAUUGGGCAGGCUGGACUUGAAAUUAAAAUCAACAAGCCAUGUUUUUAAUAAC